This 116-nucleotide ribosomal RNA is filed under the name Pteropus alecto (black flying fox). Lineage: Eukaryota; Metazoa; Chordata; Mammalia; Chiroptera; Pteropodidae. The record is from RNAcentral.
GUCUACGGCCAUGCCCUGAACAUGCCUGAUCUCAUCUGAUCUCGGAAGCUAAGCAGGGUUGGGCCUGGUUAGUACUUGGAUGGGAGACCACCUAGGAAGACUAGGUGCUGUAGGCA